Molecule: long non-coding RNA, 2261 nt
Organism: Acanthaster planci (crown-of-thorns starfish)
Lineage: Eukaryota; Metazoa; Echinodermata; Asteroidea; Valvatida; Acanthasteridae
Source: RefSeq, a predicted model, not a curated record
UGGUUCUUUUAUGUUUGGUUACUUGAGUGUGUAUAUGUGUGGGAAAUAUAAAAGUGCAUGUGGGGUGUGAUUGAAGUCUCUCUCUCACUAAAGCUCUUGACUUGUCACGCCUGUCCCGCUCUGCUGUGUUGCUACUGACUGCACAAGUUUGGGUGUUUUACCCCACUGCUUUUUGCAACUCGACCUUGGCGAUAUUAGAUGCCAUGUAGUGCAGCAUUGUAAGCAUUGCUCUGCUUGGGCAUUCAGGCUCAAUGGAAGGUUUGCUGGUUAGCUGGGGACCAGGAGCGGAGGAACUUGCUGCAAAACCAUAGUAUAUCUGGGCUUUCAGCAUUAAGAGUUUCUUUCCGAGUGGCUGUCCGAGGGGGAACCAGAGGAGGUGCUUCCACUGUCAAGUCUUGACUCCUUGAACUGGAUGACCGGUGCACUUGAACCCUUGAAUCCGAGGCAGAUGGAACAUUGAGCUCUGCGGCCAAGUAUAGUCCCUACAAUUGUGUACAAUUGUAAAUUAUCACAAUCGGAGCUUCAUGAGUAUAAUACUUAAAAUUAAAUGGUGCACAAUUGUAAUUCAUAAAUAAGUGGUGCACAAGUGUAAAUUAUUGGAAUUUGUGGUGCACAAUUGUAAUUCAUAAAUGAGUAGUGCACAAUUGUAAAUUAUUACAAUUGGGGUGCACGAGUAUAAUACUUAAAAUUGAGUGGUGCACCAUUGUAAUUUAUAAAUGAGUGGUGCACAAGUGUAAAUGACUGGAAUUUGUGGUGCACAAUUGUAAUUCAUAAAUGAGUAGUGCACAAUUGUAAAUUAUUACAAUCGGGGUGCACGAGUAUAAUACUUAAAAUUGAGUGGUGCACAAGUGUAAAUUAUUGGAAUCUGUGGUGCACAAUUGUAAUUCAUAAAUAAGUAGUGCACAAGUGUAAUUUAUUACAAUCACUGGUAUUUAAAAGUAUGAAACAAUUAGGUUGUUCACAAGUGAUGGAAUAGUGCAGUGUAUCUUUAAAAAAAGGGAUCCAGAAGAAGUAUCAUAUAUAUAACUUUGUGUAGGAAUGAGCUGUCCGUGAUAUUUGAUUUUUAAGAGAUGAGGAUUGGUUGUCACCGGUGUUGUGUAAAUUGCUGCGUAAAUGAAUAAAAAAAAAUAAAUGAAUUGUAAAUAGGUAGACUUUAUAUAGAAAAGUUUCCGUGCCGAUUUAUUUGAGCUGAUGAUACACUAACAGCAAUGUAGGAGGCAUUCUUAGCAUGGAGUUCUAGGUGAUGCUUUAAUGUAUCGUCACCACUUGAAGUAAAAUUGAAUAUACCAAACUUGUUAGCAUAACAAUGUGGACUAAUGUUCAUAAGAAUUAUUACUUAAACGGAGCACUUUAUAUGCAAAUGAGUCAUGCCAUAAGCAAUAACUGGUUAAAACUCCCACUAGCAGACUGACAAGCACAUAUCAGUGUCUUGAACUGUUCUUUAGUAGUAUUGUACAUUGGAAGCUUGAAAAUUGAUUUUGGUUAUACCUCUAGCUUUCAGUAGUAGCAGCUCAUAGAAGUUGCCACAAUUUCGUUGAGAUCCCAGGUGAUAAUGGCCAUUAUCACGGUGUGCACGUAAAGCCAGACCUUGGCACCCUAAAGUUACUAUGAUGUCAAUAGAAGUCAACACUUUCCUGUUCCUUGUGACUUUGUCCUGCACUUCUUGAAAUUUGGUUUUGGCAUCUACAUGAGGAGUGGUAUUCAUGACACGAUUAUUUGAGUUCCAUUACAGUUAGAUUUCAUAUAUAUAAUGUGCUGUAAUACUAUACAAAUAAACAUGAUUCUAUCAAAAAACAAGGUAGGGCCUAAAUGAUAGGAUGUGGAUUGAUAACACAUACCAUGAUAGCAUUCAUAGGCACCUUUAAUAAGCUAUAUGUUCAAAAUGAUGCAAAGGUUUCAUCUCAAAGGUUACACUUUAUAAGACCAUUUUUACAUUAGUGACUCUUGUCAUUCAUAUUGUGUGGACAGAAUCUGUUUUCUGCACUCAUUUUCCAAUAGCUACAUCUCCUUGCCAAAGGCUGCAUCCAGACAAGAUGCAACUCUAACAUCGGAACAAACUGCUUUUAAAGCUACAUUUAACUACCUGUUGCGUUCUUUGUUUUAUCCAUCUGUAUUCCAGGGAAAUCUACUCUGAAAUAUGCCCUCACAUCUUUCCAUUCGCAAAAUGGUUUAGUCACAAGCUUCCCCUGCUACUUAAUGUAUUUAUUGUACGGAAUAAACACACAAAACGUGCAGUAAGCUGCAUCUUGAAUUCAGCUAUA